This 75-nucleotide transfer RNA is filed under the name Rhodospirillaceae bacterium. RNAcentral's name for it is "tRNA-Arg". Lineage: Bacteria; Pseudomonadati; Pseudomonadota; Alphaproteobacteria; Rhodospirillales; Rhodospirillaceae. The record is from RNAcentral.
UUAUCCAUAGCUAUUGUUGUUAAGUUUGCCCUCCGAAGGCAGAGGUCAGAGGUUCGAAUCCUCUCGGGUGCGCCA